This 604-nucleotide ribosomal RNA is filed under the name Actinobacteria bacterium BACL2 MAG-120920-bin34. Its description in RNAcentral is "bacterial SSU rRNA". It matches the Rfam family "Bacterial small subunit ribosomal RNA", at positions 930 to 1533 of the family's 1533-position model. The record is from RNAcentral. Lineage: Bacteria; Bacillati; Actinomycetota; Actinomycetes.
CAGCGGAGCAUGCGGCUUAAUUCGACGCAACGCGAAGAACCUUACCAAGGCUUGACAUAUAGUGAAAAGUGGCAGAGAUGUCAUGUCCGCAAGGGCGCUAUACAGGUGGUGCAUGGUUGUCGUCAGCUCGUGUCGUGAGAUGUUGGGUUAAGUCCCGCAACGAGCGCAACCCUCGUUCUGUGUUACCAGCAUUUAGUUGGGGACUCACAGGAGACUGCCGGGGUCAACUCGGAGGAAGGUGGGGAUGACGUCAAAUCAUCAUGCCCCUUAUGUCUUGGGCUGCACGCAUGCUACAAUGGCCGGUACAAAGUGCUGCGAGAUCGCAAGAUUGAGCGAAUCACAUAAAGCCGGUCUCAGUUCGGAUUGAGGUCUGCAACUCGACCUCAUGAAGUCGGAGUUGCUAGUAAUCGUAGAUCAGCAACGCUACGGUGAAUACGUUCCCGGGGCUUGUACACACCGCCCGUCACGUCACGAAAGUCGGUAACACCCAAAGUUAGUGGCCCAACCGCAAGGGGGGAGCUACCUAAGGUGGGAUCGGUGAUUGGGACGAAGUCGUAACAAGGUAGCCGUACCGGAAGGUGCGGCUGGAUCACCUCCUUUCUAA